GUUUAGCCCUGAUAGCAAUGGAAAGCCUUUUUACAAUUUUUCUUGAUUUUUGUUGGCUAAAAAGAGCGACCAACGGAAGCUCCUUUUUGGCCUUACAAAAACAUGAAAAAUGUGAAAAGCUUGGAAUGUAUAGCAGGAAAUAGC
RNAcentral lists this small RNA (144 nucleotides) under Flavobacterium aquatile LMG 4008 = ATCC 11947. Its description in RNAcentral is "Flavobacterium aquatile LMG 4008 Flavo-1 RNA". It matches the Rfam family "Flavo-1 RNA". The record is from Rfam by way of RNAcentral. Lineage: Bacteria; Pseudomonadati; Bacteroidota; Flavobacteriia; Flavobacteriales; Flavobacteriaceae.